CUACAUAGGUUUACAAGAAUUUUUUACAAGCUUUGGGAAAAUAAAACCAAUAUAGAACUAGAUCAAUUUACAGCUUCCAAAAACUAGAGUUCAAAUGCUGCUAUAUUUCAAGGGUCCCUGCGUACAAAAAAAUAAUAAUAAAAACAAUAAUAAUAAAUAAAUGAUAAUAGAAAACAAGGCUAGGAAAAAUAAAUAAUAUUCAAAAUUUCAAAUGCACGUCCUAAAUUCUUGGGUAGGACCAAAUAAAUUUUAUUUUCAACCAAAAAAGAAAACUCUAACGCAAACUAAACACAAAACUAUAUACUAAUUUCCAACAAUAUAUAUAUUUUAUAAAUUUUUAACAGCAAUAUUAAAACAUAAAAUUAUUCCCGGACUAGCAUACUUGUUCUAUGCAAUUUUUAUGUCAACUUUAAUUUAACAAUAAUGUAUCUUUGGAAGAUAAAGAGGAGAAUGCAUCUACAAUAAACAAGAACAAAUUGAUUGCAUGAAUAAUAUAAAUAAUCGAAUAGCAUCUAAUAUGAACAACUUACAAAAUGAAAAGAAACUAAGCACCUAAAAAUAACUGUCAAAUAUUCAUCAGCAUAUAGAUUUUUUCUUGUAAGUAAAAUGCAUUCAAAAUCUAAACCUUAUUUAUUUAUCCAUUUGAUUGUAUAUUUAUUGUAAUUUUCAUAAUUUUUAUAAUUUUUCAGCAUACCCAAAACAAUCGGUUCAAGUAGCCAGAGCACAUAAAAUAUCUAGAUUACUAAUUACCAUAGCAUUUAAAAUGGUAGUAAUAUCAAUACCACAGCAGGGGGGAAAACUCAAAUCAAUAUAAUUUUUAGCUUUUUCUUUCAUUUGUCUAGCAUGAAACAAUUGAAUGAAAUAAAACCGCUAUAGAAAUCAGUAUUACAGCAGCAUUCAGUUUAGGAAACAAAUGAAAAAAAAAAUAACACGAGAUUUUAAUUUUAAGAAUACUUCAGAAGUAAAAACAUGACCAAAUUACCCUAAUAAUGUCUGUUAAUAAACUACCUUCAUUAUAUUAGUUAACAAAACACCUACACAGAGGUUACUACCAAAAUUAAGCAAAUAUAAAAGAAUUCAUAAAAUAGCUCUUCAAAAUCUAAUUUCUCUUUAGCUAUUUAUUGUUCAAGAAUAAUUUGCCAAAAGAAGCUUAUUUGUCAUACAGAACUGGAUUGUGGUGCUCAGUUGACGAGCAAGUUGACUAAUCCAAACUCAUAAUUCCCAUCAUCACCUUUGCAUAACAUAUAAUAGUAAUAUAGUGACUGAGAAACCACAAAAUUCAUGCGCUGAAAUCAAAACAUCACAGCAAUUCAAGAAACUUGAAAUUCAUUUGUUGCUUUGAAAGAGGAGAAUACAUCCAGAAUUAACAAGAUCAAAACUUUUCAGGACUACUGAUCCAUGAUUGCAUGAACAAUAUAUAUCAUGAAAAUAGCAUCUAAUAUGACAAACUUACAAAAUGCAAUAGAUAUUAAGCACCUAAAAAAUGUCUACAUUAGAUUUGUUCUUGUAAGUAAAAUACAUUCAAAAUACAAACCUCGUUCAUUUUUUUAUUUGUUUGUUUAUUUAUUGUAGUUCCCACAAUUCUUAUGAUUUGUCAGAAUUCCUAAACACUAUAUUCGGGUAGACAAAGUACUUAAAAAUAACUAGAUUACAAAUUAUCAAAGCAUUGUAAAUGGUAGGAAUAUCAAUAUCACAACAAAGAAAAAAAACUCAAAUCAAUGUCUUUUUUAGCCUUUUUUUUAAUGUUUCUAGCAUGAAACAUUAAAAAGAAAUAAAAUUAUUGUAGAAAUCGGCAUUAUACCUGCAUUUACUUGCAUUUACAUUAGGAAACAAACAAAAAGAAGCAGAAUACAUGUGACCUUAAUUUUAUGAAUUCUUCAAAAGUAAAGAAAUUCAUGCUAUCUAAUCGGAUUUCAUUACUGAAUUUCACAAGUUAUAUACACAUAUAUACACACAUAUAUUAUCACAUAAAUUUUUUGUCGACCUCCAGAAUUCAGAUGCAAUUUUUUCUUUAAUUUCAACUAUCUAAACAUUUGGACCAUAAUUUUUAUAUUUCUUUCAAUAAAGGCAUAGUUCAUCUAUUUCAUCAAAUAAAAAAUGACCAAAUUACCCUAAUAAUAUAAGUUAAUAAGUUACCUUUAUUAUUACCUAUAAAAAUUACCUUAAUUAUAUUCUUAGCAGAUUUUCUUUGAAUUGGUGACACUAAGCUCAAGCUUAGGCUACUCAUCACUCAUCAGCCUCACUUGGACUUGGAUCCAACCACUUGAGAGGAUGCCAAAA
RNAcentral lists this long non-coding RNA (2280 nucleotides) under Citrus maxima (pomelo). RNAcentral's name for it is "long non-coding RNA (CMAX_LNC003852)". Lineage: Eukaryota; Viridiplantae; Streptophyta; Magnoliopsida; Sapindales; Rutaceae. The record is from RNAcentral.